Molecule: transfer RNA, 71 nt
Filed under: Mesocricetus auratus (golden hamster)
Lineage: Eukaryota; Metazoa; Chordata; Mammalia; Rodentia; Cricetidae
Rfam family: tRNA
About the family: Transfer RNA (tRNA) molecules are approximately 80 nucleotides in length. Their secondary structure includes four short double-helical elements and three loops (D, anti-codon, and T loops).
Source: Rfam by way of RNAcentral
GUAACUAUAGCUUAGUGGUAGAGCACUUGCCCAGCAUGCAAGAAGGCCUAGGUUCAAUGCUAAUAUUGGCA